Macrosteles quadrilineatus (aster leafhopper) is the source of this 791-nucleotide long non-coding RNA. RefSeq lists it as uncharacterized. The transcript has 2 exons. NCBI's taxonomy places the organism in Eukaryota, Metazoa, Arthropoda, Insecta, Hemiptera, Cicadellidae. The record is from RefSeq and is a predicted model, not a curated record.
UUUGUAUAGUGCGAGUACUGGCUUUGCGCCGGUACUCAAUCGGUUUGGGUCUGGCAGCAGUCCUGCAGACCCCGGGGCAAGUUUUCCGCUGUCGGACACAUUUUCGGCAGAAGGACAGCGACUGUCAUUACUACACACACAGUUUGUUUUGUUAUUAAUGUGCAUAAAUAUGUAUCUGCGUCCAUCGUCAGAGAAGUUUGUUUUAUCUUCAUUGCCUUAACUCUUUCUGAUGUAGUUUUGUGCGCCGUAGACGUCAGAUGAGGUCCCAGAUGAGAGGCUUCAUUCUGCUGCUUCCGGAGAGGGUCGCCCGGGGAGACACUACAACUUCUCCUUCUUCGGGCUGCCCGUCACCCUGCUUCUGGGACCAGUAGAACACUACGCCUUCUACCACCACCGCCUACCACCAGGAAGGACAAUGACUAUGAUGUGCAAAAGGAAACCGCAAGUUUUAUGUUUAGGCAUGAAUAUUUAAAAGGACUGUUAUUUAAAGGGGCCCCAAAAUAAUUCAUCUUCGGUUAUUUAUGUGUCAUAGUCAUCGUUAUUUUUUUAAUUGUUAUUUAUUUAAUUGUUAUUUAUUUAAUUGUUAAUUCAUUCAAAGUUUAUAUUGCAGUUACCAUCCUUAAAUUAUUAGUUAGGCCUAACUUUUUCACAGUUAAGUUACCAUUUGUAAUCUGGAAGGGUAAAUUUUUUGAGAAAAGUGUUAUUUAAAAUUGAUAAAUUCUUUGGAUGGGGAAAUGAUCGUUGUUUGAUGUUAUUUGUAGAUUUUGAAAAUUAUAGGCUUUGUUGACAAC